Xyrichtys novacula (pearly razorfish) is the source of this 372-nucleotide non-coding RNA. The record is from the annotation of a GenBank genome assembly. NCBI's taxonomy places the organism in Eukaryota, Metazoa, Chordata, Actinopteri, Labriformes, Labridae.
GAUUAUAGUUGGACUAAGCUGUUUACAUGCAAUUCAGUUGUCCGAUUUUUAAAUCGGUGAUGUUUAUAUUAUGUCGUUGAAAUGUCUCGUAAUUCGCCCUUUAAUGUGUCUCCAAACAAGGUUAGCCAAAGCUGCCAAACAUUAGAAGAUUAUAUAGACAUGCAUCCUCACUGGAUGUGACAGCAGCUCUAGUUCAGAUACAGAUAUCCUAGAUUUAAGAAGCUGAAUCUGGUUAUUCGAAAGUUAAACCAAACUGCCACACAAUACAGGUUUCCCUCACACAUACAGCUUUAAUGGCUACCACCGUAUCCUAUCAAUGUUAGCAUAAAAACGCUUGGAGCUCUUUUCUCACAUUAACUGCGUGUUUGUAGG